This 477-nucleotide ribosomal RNA is filed under the name uncultured organism. RNAcentral's name for it is "partial 16S ribosomal RNA". It matches the Rfam family "Bacterial small subunit ribosomal RNA", at positions 333 to 801 of the family's 1533-position model. The record is from RNAcentral.
ACACUCCUACGGGAGGCAGCAGUGGGGAAUUUUGGACAAUGGGCGAAAGCCUGAUCCAGCAAUGCCGCGUGAGUGAAGAAGGCCUUCGGGUUGUAAAGCUCUUUUGUCAGGGAAGAAACGGUGAGAGCUAAUAUCUCUUGCUAAUGACGGUACCUGAAGAAUAAGCACCGGCUAACUACGUGCCAGCAGCCGCGGUAAUACGUAGGGUGCAAGCGUUAAUCGGAAUUACUGGGCGUAAAGCGUGCGCAGGCGGUUUUGUAAGUCUGAUGUGAAAUCCCCGGGCUCAACCUGGGAAUUGCAUUGGAGACUGCAAGGCUAGAAUCUGGCAGAGGGGGGUAGAAUUCCACGUGUAGCAGUGAAAUGCGUAGAUAUGUGGAGGAACACCGAUGGCGAAGGCAGCCCCCUGGGUCAAGAUUGACGCUCAUGCACGAAAGCGUGGGGAGCAAACAGGAUUAGAAACCCCAGUAGUCCCAUGAU